Molecule: long non-coding RNA, 378 nt
Organism: Leopardus geoffroyi (Geoffroy's cat)
Lineage: Eukaryota; Metazoa; Chordata; Mammalia; Carnivora; Felidae
Exons: 3
Source: RefSeq, a predicted model, not a curated record
AGGUGGUUUUGUCAUGAGGCAUCGUUGAAUAUGCUGCUAUGAACGACGGAUACAAAAUACAUCAGACUAAGCAUUUUUAUGGUGUCUAGGCAUACACUUCAAAGUCAGAGAUUUCUUCUACGUUGAAAGAAACUAACAUGCUGAAUUUUAAUUUGCUCUUUUCUCUGGAAAUGUAAAGUGCUUUGCUGACCUCUGCGAAUGGAAAGCAUCUCUCUGAUGGCAGAGGAGUGAAGGCGAGAUAGCCAAGUCACUGCUGCCGCGGGACACCUGCACUGACCCACUCAGGUGCCUGAGAGGUGGAGACAGCAGGCUGGCGAGUCUGACGGAAGAGACGCUCUGGAAAACUCAAAUAGAGAGAGAGAGAGCAUGCACAUGCAC